UCCCUGGUGGCUCAGUCGGUAAAGUGUCUGUCUGCAAUGCAGGAGACACAGGUUUGAUCCCUGAGUUGGGAA
Molecule: transfer RNA, 72 nt
Filed under: Ovis aries (sheep)
Lineage: Eukaryota; Metazoa; Chordata; Mammalia; Artiodactyla; Bovidae
Rfam family: tRNA
About the family: Transfer RNA (tRNA) molecules are approximately 80 nucleotides in length. Their secondary structure includes four short double-helical elements and three loops (D, anti-codon, and T loops).
Source: Rfam by way of RNAcentral